GCAAGUCGAACGGAAAGGCCCUGCUUUUGUGGGGUGCUCGAGUGGCGAACGGGUGUGUAACACGUGAGUAACCUGCCCUUGACUUUGGGAUAACUUCAGGAAACUGGGGCUAAUACCGGAUAGGAGCACCUGCUGAAUGGUGGGGGUUGGAAAGUUUCGGCGGUUGGGGAUGGACUCGCGGCGUAGCAGCGUGUUGGUGGGGUAGUGGCUUACCAAGGCUUUGACGGGUAGCCGGCCUGAGAGGGUGAGC
Molecule: ribosomal RNA, 250 nt
Filed under: uncultured bacterium
Lineage: Bacteria
Description: partial 16S ribosomal RNA
Rfam family: Bacterial small subunit ribosomal RNA
Source: RNAcentral